Marmota flaviventris (yellow-bellied marmot) is the source of this 299-nucleotide long non-coding RNA. RefSeq lists it as uncharacterized. The record is from RefSeq and is a predicted model, not a curated record. NCBI's taxonomy places the organism in Eukaryota, Metazoa, Chordata, Mammalia, Rodentia, Sciuridae.
UUAUACCACAAAUGUCAGAAGUCUUGAUGUCCUAUUUUGAAAGAGAAGUUAUUUAAGAAUAACCAUGUUUGAAACCUGGAAAUGGUUUGGGAUUAAGGUCUUUCAACAGAAGAUUCCUAUGAAGUUUACUGGGAAACUAAUGCCUAGAAAGUUACUGAGAGAUGACUGUUGCAGUUUCCAAUUUAACUGGAAGCAAUUUACCUCCGACACUAGCUGACUUAAAUGGACAGGAUAUGUCACGUUCCCCAGCAAAUACCUGUUACCUGCAGGAGAAAUGCAGCCUUCAAAGAAUUCCCAUG